Long non-coding RNA from Passer domesticus (house sparrow), 9293 nucleotides. RefSeq lists it as uncharacterized. The record is from RefSeq and is a predicted model, not a curated record. Lineage: Eukaryota; Metazoa; Chordata; Aves; Passeriformes; Passeridae. The transcript is spliced from 3 exons.
CUCAUGCUGCUUGCUGUCUGUGGGGAGUCCUUGAUCCAGCUCAGCAUGCAAAGGGUGUAAAGGUGCUCACGUUGGCACACAGACAGGACAAACAUGCCUGGUGUGGAAGUAAACUGACUGCAAAAAUGUAGCCAUCCCACUCCAUAGCAUCAGUCUGAAAUAUCUAGCAGGUAUCAGACAGAGGUUUAAAUCCAAAACAAAUUAGCAAAAAACAAAAAUUAAAAGGCAGCUCAUCUGCAGCAGCUAAAAACCACAGUUUUCAUAAAUCGUCUGCAAGAACUAGGUGCAUCUUGUAAUUCAUAUUUCUGCUGUUCCACAGUUCUCAUUGCAGCAGAGAUGGAAAAUAUCCCCUUCAGGUUUUGCUGUAUAUCUGCAGUGAUGGGAAGAUAAACAUCCCUGUAAUAUAUCAGUGUUGACAUUCAGAAGACUUCCAAACUUUGCUUUUUAAAUCAAAUGGAAAAGUUAGCUUUGAGCCUCUUCACUCUGUAGGAAGAAUGGGCAAGUGUUUUGUUUUUUUUCCUUUGCCACAUCUUACAUAAAUCUGACAUCCCUUACAAAUCUGCAGUUGCCAUACUGUCAGGAAUUACAGAACUGGAAGUGCUAUACUAAACAGAAGAAAAAUAUGCUAUAUACAGGUAAAACACUAUGUCUGAAGGAACAGCUAAUGCAUAGACUUAAAGUGUUCAUGUUCUGUUGAAAUUAUUUAAAAUGGAAAGGUGCCUGGCACUUUAUUUUUAAGCUGUUAUUUUUUUAAUUGAAGUGAAUUAAAAAGUGAAAAGUUCCAGGUUGUGCUGGAAUUUUUGCAUUGUUUUUUUGGUUUACUUUAUUUAUAUCAUUUACUGAAAAUACUUAGUAUGAUAGUGAAUCAGUCUGUUUUUUUCUGUCUUAACUUACAAUAUUUGUCCAAGUCUGUAUCGGACAAUAAAGUAAUGUACUGAGAAAAUGUUGAUUUGGAUAACUUGCAUAUGACAGUCUUAAACAGGGCAUAUACCUUUUAUGUUGUGCUGUUGUCAUUUGUGUGUAAAAACUUCUCAGAAGAAAGCAUGUUGUCCCAAAAGGUGACUGAUUAUUGACAGCAGUAAUACUGGCAUGGUUGACAACCAUGGGAAUGUAGGGUGUCUUAAAGAAGAAGCUCUUUUAUAUUGCUUUUCCUUUACCAUUUUCUAUAUACUAUACAAUCUAUAUAAUAUUUCUAUAAUAAAUUUCUAUAUAAUUUUGCAGUUCAUUGAACAGUAGCAAAACAGUGGAUUUGUGUGUGUGUGUGUAUUUUGAUUAGAGUAUCAAAAUCCUUGUAGAUUUUGGUUUCUUUUGCUGAUUCUGUUUUGAUGUACAGUAAACAAUUCUGUACUGUUUACUGUCCUGUCCUGGUACAUUUGCCAGUUCAUCCUUCUGUGGUAUUUGAUGCCUGAGGUAUGUAGCUUCUCUCCUAUACUGGAGAUUGAAAUACUGACAAUUUUCUUCUUUUGCAGUUCCUCCUCCUGGGAGGCAUUGUCUCACUCCCCAGUCAGACUAAAGUAUGAGCUGCCUUACUGGCUCUUCAUUUUCCAGCUACAGGCCAGAUUUUCCUGUGUUAGAGACAACAGACUCUCUUUCCCAGGGACUGCAGAAAGCUUUUGGAUUGAGUUUUCUGACAGGCUUUAACAAAAUUGUCUUUGUUAGAAGUUAAAGUGCAAGGCUAGCACGUAAAGGUCGUGAUUCAGUGAACUGUGUUCCAUUCAAACACCCAUUUAAUGAACUGGAUAGAUCAUAAGUAGACUUUGUAGUUUCUCUUCUAUGUAAGAUGCAGUAAAUGAAGGGCACAGUUUUCAUAAAUGCAGUUAUUAGCAGCUGUGUUUGAAACCCACAAGUAAUGCACAUGCCUAGGGCUUGUGGAAGUCCCUCCAGAUGGAAACAGCAUUACUGGGGUGAUUAUACCCUGAGGAAAGGCUCACUGUCAUUUUGAGAUCAAUUUUUAGCCAAUAUUCCAUUCUCAGUAUUUACAUGGAGAGUCUGAAUUGCCAGAACUUCAGAUUUCAUAACAAAACUGUUAACAAGAAGUGAACAUUUGUUGGAAAGAUUGAGUUGCUGCAGAGAAAUGCCUGUUGCUGUACUGGUUGGAUGGUGAUAGUAUCCUGCAGACAGAGGCACCGUGCUGAGAAAGCUGACUUCCAUGUUUUCUGAGCAAGAAGGAUCCUCAUGCAUCUUUCUUUGUGUGUGCUGUACCCCCCAUUGAUGGGUGAACAGUGGAAUGCUACAGUCCUAUUGCUGAGGAGUCAGUGCAGAUGGGAGAAUGCUGUUCACUUGCAUCUUCCCCAGAUAUAUGGUCAGAAAUGCCAGCCAUAGUGUACCUCAGCUAGAAGCACAAAGAUCAUGUUAAAAGUCUGCAUCUCUGAACCUCCCUUAUGUAAGGAGAUCCCUCAGGAGAUGUUCAGGGCUAGAAGUUAAUCCUUGGUGGCAUGUUAGGGGAAGGCAGUGGGAUGUCAGUUCACAGUGUUGACUUGGAGAGUAAUGUUUUGAUCAUUAGCCUCAUACAGCUUCAAGUUUAUAUGGUGGCACCACGGCGGAUCACCUGCACUGACACAGUAAAUAUCAGGGGAGUGCAUUAUGUGACAUUCAGGUGCAGCGUGGCCGCCUUUCUGAUUGGCCCCAUGGUCUCAAGGUGCCCACAGUGGCUUCCACGCUCCAAAUAAAAACACUGCAUGGCAAGUGCAGAGAAAUGUGCAAAGCUGGAAGCACAGGCUGGUUUAGUGGAGCCCAUUUAGGAAGUUUGUGGAUUAUAUUAUAGCAUUCUUGCUAGCUAUCUAAAAGAUGCAGAUACCCCAGCUGUACUAACACAUUAUGUGGCUUCUAAAGCAAAGCUAUAAGAUAGAUUUUUAUAUUCAUCAUGUUUACCUCACAGCAAAACAAACAAUAUCACUAGCUGUAUGUGUCACAGAAAGAGCAGUCUAUUUACCAAGAUUGAUUUGUCAGUUCAAUAUAUUGGUUUUUUAUUAGUUUAGUGUUGCUGCAGGCUUUUUUUUUUCUUUUUAUGCUUCAAAUGGAUGUGCUGUGUUGAUUUUUGGGGGGUUUUUUAAGUAUUUGGUGCAGAUAAGAACUUCUCUUACCUCAAUGGCUCAGUAGUCUAUAACUAAUUUAUUGGCAAACACUACACACAUUCUCCUAUGUAGGAAAGACCAGGAAUGAAGGGCCAAGGAAAGAUGAGAUCAAAUCGCAGAAAACACAAUUGGUCACAAGUUAUUUCCCUUCUCUUGUCUAGUCAAGCCGUGCACAAGGUAAUUACAUACUCUGAAUUUUGGAGAUCUUAAAGGACUUCAGAUGAAUCUUGCAGAAGUGGGUUUUAGACUGUAUGUAUAAUUUGCAUACAAUGCAGUUUUUGGAUUUAGCUGACUGUUUCAUUGAAGAAGCUUUAAAAAUGGUAGAGCUGAUCAAAUUCUAAAAAGCAAUUUUAAAAAAAAGACAGAAGUAGACUGUGGUAAAGUUUAAGAAUGGUUACAGUAUUUCAAGGUAAAUCAAAAUCUAGUCAUGCGGUUUGCUCCUUAAGAGCAAGAAAUAUGAAAUGAGAUUGGCAUAUCUGUCUUUAAAAAUUGAGGCAGACAAGAUAUAGCACAGAAAAGUGCAUCCUUUGAUCAUGCGUGUCUAUUAGUGAUGGAUUUAUUAUAUUGUAAAUGUCAUUUACUUGCUGAGUUAUAUAAAAGAAAUGCAUGAUUUUUGAAUAUCCAUCUGUCCCAGAUGACUGAGAAAGAAGAAUGAAGUUCCUCUGCAGGCUUGAACCAGUGCAGUGUUCAUUGCUGAUGCCUGGAGAGCCAGAAAAGUUGGCCUCAGCUACUUAGAACAUGAUGAUUGAUGGUAGUUCUUGUUUCUUUCUGAGGCUUUUUCUGAAAAAUAAUAGAAGUUGGAUUUUAUCUAUAGUAAAGUUAUAGAUUAUAUAUUGUAACUCUUUUAAUUCAAGGGAAUGUUCGUGUUGUGGUUUAAGCCCAGUGAGCAGCUCAGCCCCAGGCAGCUGCUCCCCCACUCCCCCACCAGUGGGAUCAGGGGGAGAAUUGGAUUGGUAAAAGUGAGAAAACUCAUGUGCUGAGAUGAAAACAGUUUAAUAGGGAAAGCAAAAGCUGAGCACACAAGCAAAGCAAAAAGGAGUUUGGGUCACCUGUCCUGGCUGUGUCCCCUCCCAACCUCCCAACCUCCCAGUCAUCCUGUCUUCUCCCCAGGGUGGCAGACUGAAAAGCAGAAAAGGCCUUGGCUCUGUGCAUCUCCUGCUCGGCAAUAACAAAAACAUCUCCACAUUAUCAUCCCUGUGUUCAGCACAAAUCCAAAACACAGCCCCAUACCAGCCACUGGGAAGAAAAUUAAUUCUACCUCAGCCAAAGCCAGCAUAGCUUGUUUUUACAUGCUUAUCUCUACAGCUUGAAACUGAGUUACUUAAAUUUUUAUUGUUUCAGUCCAAAAGAAACCGUUUUUUCUAUUUCUUUUUUCAGUUUAUAGAGAAUAUUCAUAAAAUGGGCUUGGUCCUGGUAAAAUAAAAAGCCUUGCUACUUCCUAAUCCACUGUGUAAUAGUGCUACACAGAAAAAAGGAGAAUAAUUUUUUGGAAUGAAAUGAAGCUGGACAGAGGACAUCUUGGAAAUUCUUAAAAAUUCCCAACAUCCAUAUAAAUAAACAUGAGUUCUAUUUUUAAGAUCUCAUUGAAACAUAUGCAUAAAAUGAAGGAUGUUCCUAGAGUGAAACAGAACGUGGAAGGAACAAUGACUCAACUAGAAAGGUCACAAGCUUCAUUUAAUGUUGAAAUGUAGUGAUGAGAACAAAUCUUGUAUUGAAGCUCUUGAGUGAUGCUGUGUUUUAAGCCUUUUCAUCUUGGGGGGCACAGCUUCCCAGGAAAAAAGGAUGAAGGAGGUUUUUGGGAUGGGAAAGAGAUGUUUGUUAUUGCUGGACUACUGAGGGCUGUGGAAUAAAGUUCUUGGCAAUUGUAGCAAAGCCCUGAGUGUGAGUGUGGUACUGGCUGAGACCAGCUGCAGGGCAGGGCAGACGAGGUGGUGCAGCUGAGGAUCACAGAAUGCAGGAGUGAAAUGAGAAAUCACCAGAGAAAACAUCCAAGUGACAGAGGUGUUGGUCUUCUGGACUGUGGCAGUGUUGCUGCAAACUAUUCCAUUCUCAUGUCUGCUUUGUCUUUCUUCCAUUUGGUUGCAAAAACUGCAGGAAUUGUCAAACAUGUGACAGUGUAUACGUGUGGCAUCAGUAGAACAAUACUGUAGAAAGAGUCGGACUAUAUGGAUCAGCACGUACUAUGUGGCUAAGACAUCAAUACAACACUAUUUUCAGGUAUUCAGGCUAUUUUUCCUCUUAAUUUUUAUUAAUCAGUAAGGUUGCAUAUUUGCAUUUCUAAAAAAAAGUCCUCUUUUGCUAACCUCUCAUUGCAGUGCAAAGACAAUAAAAAAAUUUAAUUCUUUCCCUCUUCAUUUUUUUAAUGAAGAGGGUAAGAAAUACUCCAGGAGUCAUGAAGACUUGAAAUCUGGAGGCCUUUUCACAUCUUACAGUCAGCUCAGCAUAGAGAUGGUGCUAUUGUCCAUUUUGUUCUUAAUACUCGUAAUUUUUCCAGUUAAGCAUUCAUAAAAUCCCUCUAAAAAAGAAAAGUUGUGGACAGGUUCUAAUUAUGAUAUGUUUCCCUUUUUUCUCUUGCAUCAUAGGUUGAAAAGGUGUUAGUUAUUCAAAGUAUUGUAAAGCAAUUUGCUACAGCUUAAGUAUGCUUCUGAUUAAACACUGUUGUCAAAAUCUGGUUGUAUUGCUUCAAGCCACAUAGCCCUGGGCAAAUGUGGUACUCCUAAUCACUUAGAGAGGGAGAGAAGAUAAAAACAUCCUUCAUUUUGUGCCAUCAUUUCUGCAGUCCAGUUUUCAAAGAGAUUUCCUGAUAUUUAUCUUUUGCCUGGAAGCAAGAGCUGGAAAUAUUUCUUGCUAUCACCUUCUACCCUUCUCAAAUAGGGUAAGCAAUGGCAUCAUCCUCAUCAGAACAUGGUAAACAAAACUGAAAAUUUGAGAGAAAUGAAAAGGAGAACGGAAGGUGGCAUUUGAACUAAGUAUGGAGCAGUAAAUGUUUACAGAAAUGAGCAAUGAUGAUACGGAUUAGAACCACCAGAAUUCUGAGUAUUUGGAGAUUUCCCAUAGCCUUCAUCUGCUUGAACAUUGUUCUGGAGUUGGCUGUGUCCCUAGAAGCCAGUUUCAUGCACUUGUUUUUUGGAAAUGCCUUGUGCUUGUGCUGCUUUACUCCUCCUGUGAUACCUACAGCUGCUGGCCCAUCAGCUUCAGGAGCAAGUCAUCUUGCUGAUCCUUUUGUGCAGCAAGGCACCCUCCAAGUUGAGGAGCUGAAAAAUAAUUAUUUUCAUUGCGUUUUUUUAAGUGACAAAAAGGUUUAACUUUCUAGGCAAUAAGUGUUGGCCUUUCUGUGCAUAGAUGCAACUUGACAUCUCCUGAAACUUGAUGUCGUGAGUGGCACCAGGAAAAGAAUGAAACCUAAAAUUGAUUGGAUCCUUAGUGUCUCUGUUCUCAAGACUAAACAAGAAACUAGACAUUAUCUUGGAAAGACGUGUCAGAGUCUGAUGACUUUGCUUACCUGGAACAGAUUUUCUUCCUGGUGCUGCAGUAGAAGAUCUGUACCCCAGGGCCUGGUGCUCUCCUUCUCUUCAGCCUCUUCAUGGGACUUGGCUGUUAUCAUAACAGCGUUCUGAACAACUGAAACACAAUAAAAUGUCAAAUGGCUGCAUUUAGCAUGAAAUUAGUCAACUGGCAUACAAAUUAGUUUGGGGUUUUUUUUUUAAUUUUUGUGGUGUCUCAUCUAUGGUGUAGUAACCCAUAUGGUGUAUUUGAGGGUAAAUAUAAUUAACAGGUGCUUUUUUCUUGGCUUGGAGCUCUGAGUCACUGCAGUCUCUGUUUAAGAAUGAAUUAAUGUGGGUGAUACUCUACAGAAGUUCAUAGUUGAACUGCCAUGCUAAAUACAUGCUAAUGACAAUGUAGGCUGCAGUAUGUAGAAAUGUAUUUAUCUGUUGGGCAGGGAAAGAGGGAAGGCUAUGGGUGUUUAAAAAGCUGUUGGUGGCAGACUGUUCUACAGUCACUGGAUCAGCUGGUGGUUUAUUAGAUCAGUCUUAAGUGUUUAACCUCAACUGACUUACCUUGUGUGAUGUACAGUAUUUGUGUUGCCUCAGUUUGUGUCAAGAAGAGAGCCAGGAUCAGUGCAGGCAGGUCUCUUGUGGUCUCUGGUUCCUUGGGGACCAGACAAAUUGCACUUGGAAGCAACAAAAAAGACAUUUAAUUAGCAAGGAGCAAAACCACACCUGAAAAGAUGCAGUGUGUAGGGAGAUACUUGCUCUUAUGCUUCUUUAUGUUCUGUCCUACUCGAUCAAGGCCAGGUUGGAUGGGGCUUUGUGCAACCUGGUCUAGUCGAAGGUGCCUAUGGCAGUGGGGGUGGAACUGAGAGAUUUUUCAAGUUCCUUCCAACCCAGUCCAUUCUGUGUUUCUAAGAUUACUUCAGCUUUCUUCUGCUGAAAAUGUUGAAUGGUCUAGUUGUAAUAAACUUGUAAUAAAUUAUUGCUAUUCUGAGUUUAAAGUUUUUCUGUCAUCUUUAGAGUGUUGUUUGUAAGGAAAGGAUUUAAAAGCUUUGGAUCAUACUUCUGUCUUAUCAAGGCUACUAUCACAACUUUUCUGUUAUUCUGCAGCAAGCAGCUGCAGAUACAGUUUUGUGUUCUUUUUAUUGCACAGGUUACUAGUGCCAACAUGUUUUUAUUUCUGGAGCAUGGGAGAGACUGAAAUACAUCCCCUUAGUCAGGCAGAGUCUAAUUGUGAAACUGCUUGUCGCACAGGAUUUCGAGGAGUACUGCACCUCUCCUAAGGAGGCAUCCUGUAACAUAGGUGAAGUUGCAGAGCAAAUGGAAAUAAAAUCUUCUGAGGGAUGCAGACUGAGAGGAAAAGAUGCAAUAUGAGAAACAUGUACUGAGGUAUGAGGGGAAAAGCCUUCACUGGGUCAAGCAACUGGAACAGGUUGUCCUGAGAAACUGGACAAAGGGGUGUGACUGGACAAGCCUCUAAGAAACCCCACCUCACUGUGAAUCUGCCUUCAGCAGGUUUGCAUAGGUGACAUCCUUCUGAUCUCAAAAUUUUGUUUAUUUUUAAGACAUUGCUAAAAUGUGUGUUGUUUUCUGGAGAUUUCUGAAUGAUCUAACGUUUGAUCUGCUUACAAAUAAACUAUUUUAGCAGGAUAUCUGAACCUUCAGCAACAUUUCCCUGUCAUACUCUUGGACAGUAGUAUUGGAAAAAGUUGUGACUGUGUGUUUUGGAGCGCUUUCAUGGGUGGUGCUGUUGUGUUCUGGAGACUUCACACUCAGACACUUCAAAGCCUUUCUGUCUAGUAUCUUCCAAACUCACCCACCCUUGUUCUAACCCCACCAACCUCACUGAUCACUGAAAAUGCUGAGCAGUUUUCAAAAUGCCAGCCCUGCUUCUCAGUGAGAACUUCAGAUCUCUUGGUGUGGAUAGAGGGAGGAAUGCAGUAAAAUUGUUUUAAGCAAGGAUGCAGGAGAUGCCAGUGGCCAUGGCAGUUCUCUUCAGCGCCAGCACUGCUUCCCCAGCAGGUCUGCCUGUGUCCAUGCAGCUGAUGUCCUUUCUGCCUGCUGUCCCCAGUGCCAUCAGUGUCACCUCCCAGCUGUAAAUAAGCUGUUGCAGCAGAGGGAGGAGCUUGGUGGGAGCGAGCUGGGGGGACAGGGGUGUGUGUGGAGGGCGGGGAUGGUAUGUGGCUUGCAGCUGCCUUAGACGAGUCUGGCACAUUACUUGUGGUUACAGCACUCUUCCCCAGCUGAGGCUGGUUUCUAGCCAGCUGGUUUCUUCUGAGGUCUCUAGUAACCACUGGGACCUUGCAGAGAUCUGAGCCAUAGCAGCCUCAGAAACACCCCCUGUCUGACAGUGGGACCAUGCUGUGGACUGUGGCACUGUUUGCCUCCAUGUCACCUUCUCCUUCAUAAAAUGCUCUGUCAGUGCCCCUUGCACAUCAGUUUGAACUACAGCUCAAACUACAUUCAGGUGAACAUGUCCUGCCUGGGUAUUUGGUCUUUGAGAAUUCUUUGGGCGUUUGGUCAUUUCCAGGACCAGCUCACCAAGGUAAGUGUGGACAACAGCUGGUGAUGUUCUCCAGCAGUCAGUAGCUUUAGUAAAAAGUGUUCAUUGAGCCCCUCAAUAGACUUCUCCAUACUUAUUCUACAUAUUUUUAGUACCAACUCUUAAUGCAUUAAGCUACUGGGUGUAAAUAAAUAAAGGAUCGUCAAUUGAUAUGGUCUGCUGUUU